UACAUAGGUGGCAAGCGUUAUCCGGAUUUAUUGGGUGUAAAGAGAGUACAGGUGGUUUUAUAAGUAGGAUGUUAAAUGCAAUGGCUCAACCAUUGUCUGCAUACUAAACUGUAAGACUAGAAUAACGGAGGGAUCAGUGGAAUUCCAUGUGUAGCGGUGGAAUGCAUAAAUAUAUGGAGGAACACCAAUGGCGAAGGCAGCUGAUUAGACGAUUAUUGACACUUAAACUCGAAAGCGUGGGGAGCAAAUAGG
This 252-nucleotide ribosomal RNA is filed under the name uncultured bacterium. Its description in RNAcentral is "partial 16S ribosomal RNA". It matches the Rfam family "Bacterial small subunit ribosomal RNA", at positions 524 to 776 of the family's 1533-position model. The record is from RNAcentral.